RNAcentral lists this ribosomal RNA (492 nucleotides) under uncultured bacterium. Its description in RNAcentral is "partial 16S ribosomal RNA". It matches the Rfam family "Bacterial small subunit ribosomal RNA", at positions 30 to 507 of the family's 1533-position model. The record is from RNAcentral.
AUUGAACGCUGGCGGCAUGCUUUACACAUGCAAGUCGAACGGUAACAGGCCUUCGGGUGCUGACGAGUGGCGAACGGGGGAGGAAUGCAUCGGAACGUGCCGAGAGGUGGGGGAUAACGCAGGGUAAGCUGGGCUAAUAUCGCCUGAGAUCUGAUGAUGCAAGCGGGGGACCACGCAGCAAUGUUUGGCCUCGCGCCUCUGGAGCAGCCGAUGUCUGAUUAGUUAGUUGGCGGGGUAAAGGCCUACCAAGCCGACGAUCUGUAGCUGGUCUGAGAGGACGACUAGCCACACUGUGACUGAGCCACGGCCCAGACUCCUACGGGAGGCAGCAGUGGGGAAUUUUGGACAAUGGGCGCAAGCCUGAUCCAGCAAUGCCGCGUGAGGGAAGAAGGCCUUCGGGUUGUAAACCGCUUUUGUACGGAACGAAAAGGCUCUGGCUAAUACCUGGGGCUGAUGACGGUACCGUAAGAAUAAGCACCGGCUAACUACGUG